CCUUCCCGUACUGACAGCGCGUAAUUACAACUACGUCUUCCAAACCAGUAUCCAGUGAACGUAAAUAUCAUUAAAACAACAAAUUUAAACCACUUGGGCCGACGCAUUGUGUCGGAUAUUGACGAUAUUAUUGAAAGUAUUGCCAUUUAUAUUUUGCCUGUUUACAAAUGAAAUAUGAAACCUUAUGACACUACAUGAUUGUGCAGUGACGCGUACGCACAUAUGGUUACAUAUUUCGCGGCCGUUCCUAGUCACAAGCGGCCCAAUCUCUGAAUGGUCUAUAUAUUUGAAUAUUUAUACGGAAUAUUUAUACGUUAUAAUAUAAGGCAUUUGUUGUGUUUCUGAGUCAAGUUGAUGAUGCGAUUGCUUUACGUUUUCGUCGCGUACUUGAAUG
Molecule: non-coding RNA, 394 nt
Organism: Paramuricea clavata
Lineage: Eukaryota; Metazoa; Cnidaria; Anthozoa; Malacalcyonacea; Plexauridae
Source: the annotation of a GenBank genome assembly